RNA transcript from Ananas comosus (pineapple), 3151 nucleotides. It is a transcript of the gene named reactive Intermediate Deaminase A, chloroplastic-like, with no coding region annotated. The transcript has 3 exons. The record is from RefSeq and is a predicted model, not a curated record. NCBI's taxonomy places the organism in Eukaryota, Viridiplantae, Streptophyta, Magnoliopsida, Poales, Bromeliaceae.
UUUUUUCUUUUUUAACUGCGAACACCAUUGCACUUUGCAAGAGAGAAACCCAAACCCUAAACCCUAAACUCUAAACCUAUUUUCCCACCGAGAGAGAGAGUAAGAGCGAGAGAGUGAGAGCGAGAGCGAUGAUGGCGUGGUGCGCCGCGAGGUCGGCGGCGGCGGCGGCGGCGGCGGCGCCGGGGGCCGACCUGCGCGCGCUGCGCGCGCGCGCGCCCGUGGCGGCGGCGGGGCUCUGCUGUGUCUCCGUGGCCGGCUCCCUCCUCCGCUCCUCCUCCUCCUCGACCAAAUCCCACAACCCAUUCGCCUCCGUCAACGCUACCCUCUCCUCCUCCACCACCGCCUCCGCCACCGCCGCAGUAAAAGUAGAGAUAAGUGGCAGCAGCGGGAUGGCGAGGAGCGAACUCGGCGGAGCGAUCCGAUGGGAAGGUGCUCGGGCGGAACUCCGGCGGGUCAACGGGAUUAGGGCAUCAUCGGUGCACAUGGAGAUCGAGGUUGGAGGAGGAAAUCCGACAGAAUCUUGGAAUUGGGGCGAAGACGAGAACCUGCGGGUCGAAGGUUCCGCGACUCGGAUCGGAGGUAAAUGGCGAACCCAAGACCCGCCGGUUGCGGGUGAUGCGGAGAAGGCAGGAACCGACGCCCACUUACCGUUACGCAUGGAUCGGGCGAGCCGGAGCUCGGAUCGGGGCGAAAUGGGGAACCAAAGACCCGCAGGGUUGCGGGUAGUGCGGAGAAGGGCGGACCCGAGUCCGUUUGCCCGACAAUCAGCAGAGGGGAUCGGGAAAGCCCAGGAAAGGGCCCCACUAUCCGAAUUGGCAGCUCAACCAGUCCACUUCUUAUUUUAUCACUUUUGCUGUUUAGUCCUCGAAGAUUAAAUAAUUUUGUUUUCACUACGGGUACUAAGUAGUAUAAGUAUAUCAGAAUGUAAUGCAAGUUAGGGUCAUGAAUGGAAUAUUGAAUCUGCUUCUUCCCCAUUCCCCAAUUCUCCUUCUUCUCUAAACUCUCUUUCUCCAACUCUUAUCUCUUCUCUACUUCUAAUCCCCACUCCUAAUAUCUAUCUCAAACUUCUUAUCUCACUUUCUACUCUCUAUCUCUAUCUCUAUCUCUACUCGCCUCUCAGACCCAUCAUCCUUCCCGCCGUGCUCGUCUUGGCGAAUCUUAUCAUUGGCGGCUGCGAUUCGUUCGGAACAUUACAAAAAGGAAAGAAUUUGUAGGGUUUGUUCUCUUGUUACAGUGUUGCUUCGUUUUAACAAAGGUAUUGUGCAAUUGGUUUUCAACUAUUAUGAUUAGAUGUUUACAACGGCGUGGUGUAUCCGGCUUGUUAGAAAAAAUUAUUCUGCAAAAAGGAGAACAGAUAUGCGAAAUGUGACUAUUUAGAGCUUCUCUAGCUGUGUAAGUGGUUAACCAUUUUUCAUAAGGGAGAAUCAUGAACUAUCCGGUAUAUGAUUAAGCUAAUUGUAAGUAAAAUUCUUGAAAUCUUGAAUCAUUUUAGCUGUCGUAGUGUCGCCUGUUUCUGAUAAGUCAAUUUUUGUUUUCUCACAUUCCUAUGUGCACUGUUCGUUAUGUUGAAAUCUUGGCCAUUAAAUUUGAGGUUUAAAAAGAAAAAACAAUGCGAAGCAUUCAUUGAGUAUUCAGUGUUAGAAUUUUAUGAAAAAUAAUUAGCUCAAGCUUUGCAAUCCGAUGCCCUGUUUUUAGAUAAGAAGGAGGCUGUCCAGACAGAAAAGGCGCCUGCGGCGUUAGGCCCGUACUCGCAGGCUGUCAAAGCCAAUAACCUUGUUUUCGUCUCUGGUGUUCUGGGCCUUGUUCCCGAGACAAGAAAGUUUAUCUCUGACAGCAUUGAAGAGCAAACUGAGCAGGUAAGCAAGUUGAAUUUGAUUAAUCCGUAGAUUAUCAGUUUCAUUUCGUAGUUUUCUUGUUUUGCAAUUUGCUUUUGUCUUUUUAACAAGUAUUAGAAGCGAUACUGACCUAAUGAAAGUAUAGUAAACAUAGCGUGAGAUGUAAAAUUCCUAUGUUCAAUGUUUAUAUUGACGUUGCAUUCACUUUAAAGUGUCAAUCUGUUUGUUUUAAGACAAACUUUUUGAUAGUAAUGCGCAUACAGAAUGCCUGAUCAUAUGUGGUUAUGUACCUGAUCUGCAACAUGUGAAAGGCCUUUUAGGUUUAAGAUGCUUAUAUUAAUCUAUUAAAAGUGUAAUAAAAAUGGUCCUUUUUUUUGCAUUAACUUUGUGUAUAGACUGUAAGAAAUAACUGAACGGAUGAUAGUGAUGUUUUUUUUUCCCCUUGUAUAUGAUUUCGUGAAAUUUUUGGUGAGUUUGGUGUGAACGAUUCAAUGAUAGCAUAAUCAUUUGAAGCAUUUACUUAUUACUUGUAAUUUAAGAUGGCAAAGUUCUCAAGCAAACUUUUGGAGUAUCUUGUAAGAACUCCUAAAACCCUCCAAUGUGAGAUAUGUUUGGGCCUCAGGUUUUAACAAUUUUGGCCUGCAUGUGGCCCUAUUGAUUGACACCCAAAAGUUCCCCUGUUGAUCCAAGGCAGUGAUGUUAUUACAGAGUCAAUAGGUGUCUGAAUUGACUUUGAUUUAGCAUAGCUCUUCGUCAGGGUAUAGGUUGGAUGCUCUAGGUUGAGACUGGGCCAAUUGUUUCAAACCCUCCCCGCACCAAACUAGGGCGUGAUACUAGCCCAGCACAAUAUAGAUCGCCAAACUGAGCAGGUAGAUUUUUUGCUUAGUGCGCUUGCGGAGUUCGAUUGGUGCGUUCCUGCUUCGAGCAUCGCUAAAUUUGCUUGUUGUUCUGCAUCCUGCUACACCACCUGUACGUUCUCCUCUGUUCUUGCUUCCAGCUUUUCUACAAAGAUGUUGCAACUUCUAUUUCCUCUGCAUUCCUUUCUCUGCUGCUCUUCCACCACAUUUUAUACAUACAUGUGUAACCAUUUGCUGUUUACAUUAAUAAAAAAAAGAAGAAGAAACUUAAAAGAAUGCGCUAUUAAUUCGAAGUCGUAAAUUAGAGGCUACGAAUGCUAUAGUUAAAACUGCCAAAAAAUAAAGCUCCGUAAAUCGUCAGGAGAUGUAAUGCUUUUAUGUUGGUUGCUAUAAACCGAGAAACUAAUGCUAAUUAUGUUGGCAAAAAACGUUGUAAAGAAACGAAAAAAAAAAAAAAAA